AUCUGGGCGGCGGAAUUCAGGAUGGCCGGCGUGCUUUCGCGGUGCGUCGGUCGUUUGAUAUUUCCGUCGCCAACAAACCGCAGACGUCGCGACCUGUUCGCGGUCGGUCCCUGCUCGGAGGAGCCACGUUCGAGCUCGUUGUGUGCGCGUUUCGGCGCGUCACACGGCGAAGGCGUGGAUCUCUGGCUGGCCGUCGGACAGUAUGCUUAGCGGUGUCCGGUGUCGUCGUUUCGUACGCGCGGCAUCGGUACCGGUCAGCGACGAAUUCUUCGGGCCUCUUUCCGACCCGUCUUGAAACACGGACCAAGGAGUCUAACAUGCGCGCGAGUCGCGGGGUAUCGAGCGUACUUCGGUGCGUUCGUUAUGUUGCGAAACCCGUACAUGUCGAAGGCGUAAUGAAAGUGAAUGGGGAAGAUGGUGUUCCGAGUACACGUUCCGCGAUCGUCGGUAUCGCGGCCGGACACCCGCAUUCCCGGGGCGUCUCAACGGCCCGUCGCUGAUGCGGACAGUCGUCUCUCGGGGUGGCUGUCGGUCGGCGACGAACCGA
RNAcentral lists this ribosomal RNA (547 nucleotides) under Dynaspidiotus apacheca. RNAcentral describes it as "eukaryotic LSU rRNA". Lineage: Eukaryota; Metazoa; Arthropoda; Insecta; Hemiptera; Diaspididae. The record is from RNAcentral.